GCUGCCGGCUAGCUCAGUAGGUAGAGCGUGAGACUCUUAAUCCCAUGGUCGUGGGUUCGAGCCCCACGCUGAGCG
Schistocerca gregaria is the source of this 75-nucleotide non-coding RNA. The record is from the annotation of a RefSeq genome assembly. Lineage: Eukaryota; Metazoa; Arthropoda; Insecta; Orthoptera; Acrididae.